CUGCCCUUGUCAGCACGUACACUAACGUUGGAACGAUACCAAGAGUAGCACGGGCCCUGCACAAGGAUGGCACGCUAAACUUGUGAAGCAUUCCCUACGAAA
Perognathus longimembris pacificus (Pacific pocket mouse) is the source of this 102-nucleotide small nuclear RNA. The record is from RefSeq and is a predicted model, not a curated record. NCBI's taxonomy places the organism in Eukaryota, Metazoa, Chordata, Mammalia, Rodentia, Heteromyidae.